RNAcentral lists this small RNA (719 nucleotides) under Pan troglodytes (chimpanzee). RNAcentral describes it as "retained intron". The record is from RNAcentral. Lineage: Eukaryota; Metazoa; Chordata; Mammalia; Primates; Hominidae.
UCUAAAUUAAUCUCUUUUAUUUGGUGGGUUUUUCUUUUUUUUUCUUUUUCUUUUUUCUUUUUUUUGUUUUUACUGUAGAAAAUCCAGCAUAACUGACUGACAAAAUGUUUUAAAGCCAAACAAGUCCAUUUUGUGUUUUAGAUUUCAGCCUUCCAAGUUCUGAUGUAACAAACAACUUAAAACCCAGUCUUCAUCCACAGAUGAACUUGCUAGCCUUGGAGAAUACAGAGAUACCCCCGUUUGCCCAAAGGACCAGCCAAAACCUCACCUCAAGCCACGCAUAUGAUAAUUUUCUGGAACAUUCAAAUUCAGUGUUUCUACAGCCGGUUAGUCUACAAACCAUUGCAGCAGCACCAUCAAACCAGAGUCUGCCACCUUUGCCCAGCAAUCAUCCAGCGAUGACAAAAAGUGAUCUCCAGCCACCUAAUUACUACGAGGUAAUGGAGUUUGAUCCCUUAGCUCCUGCUGUCACUACAGAAGCUAUUUAUGAAGAAAUUGAUGCUCACCAGCACAAAGGAGCUCAAAAUGAUGGUGACUGAGAAGAAAGUGGAUGAUCAGCUCACUACCACAUCAAAGGUGCCAACUCUCUAAAACGUAGACUCUGUGCAGCUUUGAAGCCUGGAAGACAAUACCUACCAACAUGUCAAAGCCAUGGUGGCACAUUUCUGCUACAAUGAAGAUUAAAUAGAAUAACAGUUCCAGGAUAACACUGAUUCCUG